This 330-nucleotide ribosomal RNA is filed under the name uncultured bacterium. RNAcentral's name for it is "bacterial SSU rRNA". It matches the Rfam family "Bacterial small subunit ribosomal RNA", at positions 1 to 334 of the family's 1533-position model. The record is from RNAcentral.
CUAGCGACUUCAGAGUUUGAUCCUGGCUCAGGAUUAACGCUGGCGGCAUGCCUAAUACAUGCAAGUCGAAUGGUACCUUUCGGGGUGCCAUGGCGAACGGGUGAGUAACACGUAGGUAACCUGCCGUAAAGACGAGGAUAACCAUUGGAAACGAUGGAUAAUACUGGAUAGGACAGUACAAAUCGCAUGAUAAACUGUUUAAAGGAGCAAUCCACUUUGCGAGGGGCCUGCGGCGCAUUAGCUAGUUGGUAGGGUAAAGGCCUACCAAGGCGAUGAUGCGUAGCCGGACUGAGAGGUUGAACGGCCACAAUGGAACUGAGAACGGUCCAU